UACGGAGGGAGCUAGCGUUGUUCGGAAUUACUGGGCGUAAAGCGCGCGUAGGCGGCUUUGUAAGUUAGAGGUGAAAGCCUGGAGCUCAACUUCAGAAUUGCCUUUAAGACUGCAUCGCUUGAAUCCGGGAGAGGUGAGUGGAAUUCCGAGUGUAGAGGUGAAAUUCGUAGAUAUUCGGAAGAACACCAGUGGCGAAGGCGGCUCACUGGACCGGCAUUGACGCUGAGGUGCGAAAGCGUGGGGAGCAAACAGG
RNAcentral lists this ribosomal RNA (253 nucleotides) under uncultured bacterium. RNAcentral describes it as "partial 16S ribosomal RNA". It matches the Rfam family "Bacterial small subunit ribosomal RNA", at positions 524 to 776 of the family's 1533-position model. The record is from RNAcentral.